Molecule: long non-coding RNA, 1817 nt
Filed under: Oryza sativa (Asian cultivated rice)
Lineage: Eukaryota; Viridiplantae; Streptophyta; Magnoliopsida; Poales; Poaceae
Description: long non-coding RNA (OSAT_LNC000523)
Source: RNAcentral
AUAUCAUGCUUGGAUCACCACCAAACUGCUCAAAGAGGACUAGAUCAUUGCUACCAGGUUGGAGAAAUGACCUGGGCACGUGGUACCUGUUUAACAAGGUAAGGCAUUCAAUCAGUCAGCAUAAUGGAUUUCAUGGUGACCAUAGAUACAAUUUUGAGAGUGUGCCUUCAUAUUUUGUAGUAUAUUAAAUACAUCAAUGCUUAGUAAGUGCUGAAAUAUAAGUGAAUUUUCAUGCACAGCUAAAUGAUAUUAUCACUAAAAAGUUUUCAUAUUGGAACAUGAGAAUAAAUUGGAGCUGGCUCUGCAUUAGGAAACAGAUUGUAGAUAUGAAAAAAAACUGAAGAUCAUAUUCUCGUGCCACUGAGCUUUAGCAGAACUCUUACAGAGUUUGUGAUGGCUGCCCACAUUUCUUUAGGCACUUGUUCGAACUAUAAGCUCCUCUGUAGUUGCAUGAGUUUACACAGCCACUUUGUGGAGCCAAAUUUGUUGGCCAGUAGCGACCAAUGCUCUGGCCAUUCACCCAUGCCUCCCCUUUCCCCAUUCCUGUGAAGUCUAUGGCAACAGGGUCAUCACCUGCAGGAGCCGUAAACUUGGUCUGCAAUUGGAGCAUUUCAUUUAGCAACUUUGCACAUUAUCCCAAGGUAAUAAUUGAACAAAAAGGAUUGAUCAAACAAUGGAGUGUAUAGAUAUAGCUUAUUGAGCCCAAAGCCAUUUUACAUGUACACAAACGUCAAACACAGCUUAAUUACUGGGUCAGAGGAUCAUACUGACCUUGUACCAUAUCAAUGGUUGGUUGGUCGGGUAUGCGUUGUCUGAAACCCAUUCUGGUGAGGCUUCUGAAGGAUUAUACAGAUGCAAGUCUUCUCCUCUGAGUCCAAUCUGAAGCGGUGAAAAUUAUGAUGAGGGAAAACAAACCAUGUUAUGUUUACGGUUGACCUACUGUACCGAAGGCAUUCUCAAAACAGCAUUAGCCAAUAGUUUCCUUACAAAAAAAAUCUGAAACAGUAUAUGAAUAGAUAGUAGAAUACCUGGUAUGUCCAAUCUGUAGAAGAUAGAUUAAGGGCACCAUUUGGUCCACUCAACUUUACUGGACCAGUGACUCCAGCGCCAACCAGGUCAAAGAAUGCACCAUAAUUCUGAUGUUACAGAAUACAUAGUUGUUUAUUAAAUAGAAAGAAGUAAAAUAGGAUAUUAGUUUUGGUGCAUCUCUUCUAGAGUAAGUGAAGAAUAAAUUACCGAUAGCCCAACUGUUGUGCUCAGAAGAUCUAUUUUGUUCUUCCCAGGUACAAGUGUAACUGGUGUCUGCAAUGAGAUGAGCGAGCUGCUAGCACUGCCCUUAGCACUUCCUGGCAUGUGUCAACAAUUACAUUUCAGCACACAAAUACUACUUGUGCGUGUAAGACCAAUGUUCAUAAUUAACAUCACAAUUCGAAUGUCAUUUGAAAGGUCUUUGCAUUGUGACCUCAAGCUUUACCUGCUAGUUUGCCAUUGAUGUAGAUCUGAAGAACAUGUCCAAGUGAGUUGACAAGCAGAUUGGACUGGCUGCCGUUUAGAUAUGGUUCAUCACCUUUGACAACGAUGCUGCAGAAAGCACGAUUAAUUGAAACUGGUGAGUAACCUUGUGACUGCCAGUUUUCUUAUAUAUAUAUAUAGGAGUAUAUGGACAAUUACACCUGAGGCGUGUGAGUGCGAACCCUGUACCUUGUUGAGUACCACAGGAAAUCACUGGCAUCGGCUGUGGUGUUUAUCUGCUCCAUCAGUCCAGGUUUCGUCAAGGCGUUCUCCUUUGUAAUACCAACAGGCUCUAUGGCAUAACU